UCAUAUACAACAACUUAUUAAAAUAUAAUUUAUCAAUAAUUACAACCGUGCAUAAACUAAUUACUUACAAAUUAAUUAAUCUUUGGAUAAUAGCGUCUAACCAUAAUGGUUAAAACAGAAAACAAGUUUGAGUGAUACUAUACAACUUUACAUAUAUAUUCAUUAAUUUAAAAAAUUCAAAAACAACUAUUUUGAAUCAUGGAGCAUUUCGAGAAAUCCUAGGAAAUACAUCGUCUAAAAAAUUGCAACCUCAAAGUGUAAAACAGAUAACUGCUGAAGUCACAUGACUUACCUAUCAUGCUGUAUUCCAUAUUGAAGCAUAGCUAAAUUUAGGCUUACCAAAUGACCUUUCAAAAUAUAUUGUUUUCUCUUUCUUCAUGACCCUUCAUGGACCUAGAUAGCCAGUUCAUGAACCAACAUUUCCUCAUGAAAUAAUUUGAAAAAAAAACAAUAUUAGCAACCAAAAUUUAAUGACAAGAGUGGUCAUGAAUGAUCUAGAUUUGAUGACUUAAAACACGGAUCCAAGCAAUACCAAUGCAUAGGUUAUAAGCAUUAAGAAAUCAAAUAUAUGCAAACAAAGUUGAGUCACAUUAAACAAGUUCUAAAGAGUAAACUCUCAUUUACUUUCUCAAAGUGAUAUUUGUUGUCACAAGAGUCUUAAAAGAAAAAAAAAAUUAAGUCUCUAAAUUAAUAUGUUUUUGUUGUUAAUUAUUUUUUUUAUUUUUCAUUUGUGUUAUUGAGUUGUCAAAUUUUUUAUUUAUCACACGUUUACGUGGUGGGACAUAAGAGUCGACAUCUGUUGAUUUAAUUUGAUAUACAAGGAUCAAAAUUAAAAGAACUUUAUCCCUUAGUCUCCAAAUCCAUAAAAA
RNAcentral lists this long non-coding RNA (869 nucleotides) under Cicer arietinum (chickpea). RNAcentral's name for it is "long non-coding RNA (CARI_LNC000309)". Lineage: Eukaryota; Viridiplantae; Streptophyta; Magnoliopsida; Fabales; Fabaceae. The record is from RNAcentral.